GUCAUUUUCUUUAAGUGGUACAUCACAUGAUAUUCAAAAGUGAAAACCAAGCAGUUUGGAUUAUGUUUUUCUAUAAUAUUGGUAUUACAUACAUAUAUGCUUCCUACAUAAUCAAAAUCUUCUGCAUCUGCUCCUGACUCAGGCCCAGGAAGCGAAUAUUACCAUUUUAUUCAAAAGGAAAUGAUGAAGGCAACGAUCACAGACAUGGAG
RNAcentral lists this long non-coding RNA (210 nucleotides) under Elaeis guineensis (African oil palm). Its description in RNAcentral is "long non-coding RNA (EGUI_LNC045783)". The record is from RNAcentral. Lineage: Eukaryota; Viridiplantae; Streptophyta; Magnoliopsida; Arecales; Arecaceae.